This is a long non-coding RNA of Scylla paramamosain (green mud crab), 1257 nucleotides long. RefSeq lists it as uncharacterized. The record is from RefSeq and is a predicted model, not a curated record. NCBI's taxonomy places the organism in Eukaryota, Metazoa, Arthropoda, Malacostraca, Decapoda, Portunidae. The transcript is spliced from 3 exons.
UGAACCAGUUUCAACAGCUUUGUGAUGAUUUUUUUUCUUUUUUCUGUCUCUUUUUUAUAUUUAUCUUCUCUCGUGGCUCGUAGAUGGCUGAAAGAAGAAGGAAGAGGAGGAGGAGGAAGAGAAGAAGGAGGAGAACGAGGAAGAGGAAAGGUAGGAAGAGGAGGAGGGCUGUGUGGAAAGAUGAAGUAUGAAGAGAAGCCUCAACCCACCCCGUGAAGCACCGUAAGGGCACGCGACUCUGACCUCAAGAGCCUAGAGCCCUGCGCAGUGGUCAACAGUGGAAAGUGAGCCGAACUCGAUCUCUUGCCAGCCACCACCGGAAAAGCUAUGAACCAGCGGCACUCUCGAUGCAUUUAUGUAUCGGCAGCCGCCACGCCGCCGCUCACACAGUGCUUCUUCGCCGGAAGGGUUGGCGGUGGCUGCAAGUUUAAGAGCGAGACGCCGUACCCUUAUCAGUGGUGACUGCGCCGGGGCUCACGCACACUUGCCUUUUGUUGCGUUGCAGUAAAAGUAAAAUUGCUGAACACCCGAGGGCUACAAGGUCGACGAGUACGUGUUAAAGGCACCUGCAGCACCACCUCAGCCUGAGUGAUGGCAGGGAAGAGCUGGAGGGCGGUGGUGGUGGUGGUGGUGGUGGUAGUUAUAUUCCAGGAAAGUAAGAUGAAGCUAUCUAUCUAAUUUUGUUUUUAAUGUUGACAGUAUUCUCUCUCUCUCUCUCUCUCUCUCUCUCUCUCUCUCUCUCUCUCUCUCUCUCUCUCUCUCUCUCUCUCUUUCUCGCUUACCAGCACGUUUAUUUAAUUUUCAUUCAAUUUUAAAUGUUUAUCUUUGUUUAUGUCUGCUUGUUUGUCUGUCUGUCUGUCUGUGUGUCUGUGUAUGCCAGUGAAAGUCAGUGUAAAUGUCUACCGGUUGGUCUGUCUUUUUUGUCAGCUUACCUGUAUUUCAGUGUAUGCAUGUUCCUUAAACACACACACAAAACACCUAAAAUGUCUCUGUCCGUUUUCUAUGGAGCAUAUUUUCAUUAACUCUUUCAAAAUUAACUUAAUUACCAUUUCGUUCCGUUUUCUUUCUGUCUUGUUUUCGUCUCCCCACUUUUCUCCCUCCCUCUACCACCCCAGUACUAGCCUCCUUCCACCCCUUUACACCUUUCUCAUACGCCUUUACCCGUAGCGUCCCUUCCCUCGUCCCUUCUAGCCUCCAUCUCUCCUCUCUCUCUCUCUCUCUCUCUCUCUCUCUCUCUCUCUCUCUCUCUCUCUCUCU